This is a long non-coding RNA of Mesocricetus auratus (golden hamster), 1398 nucleotides long. RefSeq lists it as uncharacterized. NCBI's taxonomy places the organism in Eukaryota, Metazoa, Chordata, Mammalia, Rodentia, Cricetidae. The record is from RefSeq and is a predicted model, not a curated record. The transcript is spliced from 2 exons.
GCUCUCGCAUUCUGUUUGAGGCGCAGGAAGAUUGUAUUGCUGUAACUGCAGGACACGGUUUCCCCUUUUCCCUGAGUUCUUCAGAGCCGGUCAGCACCUCUUCCUCGGUAUUUUGCUUGUUAAACCAGCCUUAGAAUCACCAAGUGAAUGUCGCCGCGGGGAGUGGCAGGGGAGGCGGGACACAGAGGUGGACCUUUGGGUGGGGGGGCAUAGAGGAGACGAGGGUGGAAGAAAGCGCAACCUGGAGGCCUGGGGGGAAAAUAAAUAAAUGCCCCCGCAGGUAACAAUAGUGAAGCCAGGCUCAUCCAGGACCGGCUGGGCAGAUUUGAAUCUUGUUCUCAUCCAUAAAAGUCCAUACAGAAAGGAGACAGAUACAUGGACAAAUCGUGCUGUAGAAGUAUAUGCUGCAUAUGUGUGAUUUAUAUAUAAUGGUGUGUGUAAAGCUUUUCAGGCUUGGCUGUAGUGUAAAAAGUAAUGACUUUAUUACCUCUGAAAGGUUCUGUGGUUCACAUUUAACAGUCUUCUGAAUUACAAUUCAUUACACAAUCGUGUGCUCUCUAAAACCGGCACCCUAUCAGGGCCGCUAUCUGUGGUUAUUCCCAAUAAAUAACUAGCAGCGUUUUAUUGAUUUUCUUUUUUUUAAAUCAUAGGAAAUUAAGCACUUAGUUACAAGUAGGUCUGCUGUUACUGUACUUGUUUCAGAUUCCAGGGGGUUCCUUCGGCAGCCACAUCUUAAAACAUACAUUUAAAAAGCCAGUUGCAGCUGCUUGCCUGGGUACCAGUUCAGAGAACUGUAAGCAUUCUCCGGGCGUAAACACUUCUCGGGGCCGAUGUGCUGGAGUCUGAAUUUCAACUGAGCUCUGCAUCUCGUUUCCAUACCCAGAUCUUCACAGGCAGAGCAAGGCAGAGGACUGCGGAAAUUACCCCAUCAUUUCAGCAAUGAGCCUGCGUUUAUUGGCGUCACCCAGAAAUUUUGUAGCCUGUCUGCUGAGCUCUGGCCCUCAGAGCCAUGGAGAAAGAAAGGGACAGGAAUUGCUGACCACUCCCAGGCAGAAUUAAUUAGAAACAGAUCUUGAUAUUAAAGAAUCUCAUCUUUUCCCUACUCAAAAUCCACACAAACACCCAUGAUUAUAUGUGAUGAAGGGAUUUGCAACCCACCCACUCUGGGUCUUUAUUGCUACAGAAAGUGAACUGUUUGGGAAAGACUAUGUACAAACAGCAGUGGGAAAGGAAACCCCUCUUACAGAACCCCAGCACAUAUGUUCUGUCACGAACCUUCUAGACCCUCACUACAACCGUUCAAUCUAUUGAAUCAAGAGACUGUUUGAUCUUAUCUGCAUUUGUGAGCUGACUGACAACCUGCUUGGGCUGCAUAUUAAAUCAUCUAUAGUAGCUGUA